CUUGCUAUAGAAUGUGUGUGAGAACGCAUGUAUCUAUACAAAUACAAGCUCUCUUCCUCUUGUUUUCUUGAUUGUGGAGACACUUAAACUGUGGUUAUAGUGAAUAUUGCUUUAAUAUAUAGUGUACUCUAUCACCAGGAGAAGAAUGAUGGAGACUUAAGAGCAAAGACACGUGGAACAAUUACAUCAUAUCUUGUUUUCGGCACAAUUGAGGAAAACCCCAACACCAUCGUGCUAGACAUGCGCAUGCACUACCAUGUGAGUGGCUGCAAUCUCGCGAAGUAGCAACGCCACCCAUGAGAAUUGGCAACAUUGCCCACAUGCAGAGGCAAUGUCACUAGCAUGCAGCAUCAUUGCUCGUGCACAGUCGCAUGAGACAGCUGAUUGCGAACAAUUGCGUGACUGCCAGGCCAUGCAUAGCUACGCUUAAGGGUACACCCUUCUACUGUGGCGCAAGAAGCAGUGGCAGGUCUUGAGGCUUUCAAAGCAUACCAAAAUUCUUUGCCAUCUAUGGAAGAAGACGAGAGGCAGGUGGUUUCUCCAAGAGGUUGGCAGCCUCCUCGAUCUCCCAGGUACUAUAAAAAUAAAUUGGGACGCUUCUCUAAAUAAAUCUUUGGGUUGCAUUGGCAUUGGUAUAGUGGCUCGGGACAGUGCAGGAAAUAUGAUGGGGCCUGGGGGCUAAAUGUUCUUACAAGCUGCAACUUCUAGAACCGGAUGUACGUAGCUGAGAUUUUAGCAGCUCUGGAAGCAGUUGUUUUCUGUAAAGAGGUUGGCUUCCUAGAUGUAAUUUUGGAAGGGGAUGCGUUGAAGAUUCUUAAGGAGAUUAACUCAGAUCCACCUUUCCUAUCCCGCACCGGGCAUUUUGUAGAGGCUAAAUUUUAAGAAAAUUUAUAUGGGAAAAGGAGAAGGGGAA
Molecule: long non-coding RNA, 913 nt
Organism: Alnus glutinosa
Lineage: Eukaryota; Viridiplantae; Streptophyta; Magnoliopsida; Fagales; Betulaceae
Exons: 3
Source: RefSeq, a predicted model, not a curated record